CCUACGGGUGGCAGCAGUGGGGAAUAUUGCACAAUGGGGGGAACCCUGAUGCAGCGCCGCCGCGUGAGCGAGGAAGUAUUUCGGUAUGUAAAGCUCUAUCAGCAGGGACGAAAAAAGACGGUACCUGACUAAGAAGCCCCGGCUAACUACGUGCCAGCAGCCGCGGUAAUACGUAGGGGGCAAGCGUUAUCCGGAGUUAUUGGGUUUAAAGGGUGCGCAGGCUGAGGUGCAAGUCAGCGGUCAACGUGCGGGGCUCAACCCCGUACUGCCGGUGAAACGGCAUCCCUUGAGUGCGCGAGAAGUAUGCGGAAGGCGUGGUGUAGCGGUGAAAUGCAGAGAGAUCACGCAGAACUCCGAUUGCGAAGGCAGCAUACCGGCGCGCAACUGACGCUCAUGCACGAAAGCGUGGGUAUCGAACAGGAUUAGAUACCCCAGUAGUC
Molecule: ribosomal RNA, 440 nt
Filed under: uncultured bacterium
Lineage: Bacteria
Description: partial 16S ribosomal RNA
Rfam family: Bacterial small subunit ribosomal RNA
Source: RNAcentral